Molecule: long non-coding RNA, 392 nt
Filed under: Triticum aestivum (bread wheat)
Lineage: Eukaryota; Viridiplantae; Streptophyta; Magnoliopsida; Poales; Poaceae
Description: long non-coding RNA (TAES_LNC011345)
Source: RNAcentral
AUCUUUCGUUUUUGUAGUCUUAAUAUAUGGGUCUCAUCUAUUUUUGGUUGCAGAUGUUUGAGAGAGGCAGCAUAGACAUAAGAGGGGUUCAAUAUUGUUAACUCACAUCAUCCAGACCAGGUUAGCACACAUGCCAUGCAGAUUCUACUACUUGAUGUAGCCUUUCUCUUAGAUGUAAGUAGUAUUUUUACUGUGCUACUCUUUGAUCUUGAGUAGUUUGUUCAUGUAUUGUUUAAGAUGCGAUCAUCCAGACCAGGUUAGCACACAUGCCAUGCAGAUUCUACUACUUGAUGUAGCCUUUCUCUUAGAUGUAAGUAGUAUUUUUACUGUGCUACUCUUUGAUCUCGAGUAGUUUGUUCAUGUAUUGUUUAAGAUGCCAAAUAGAAUUAAAU